RNAcentral lists this long non-coding RNA (439 nucleotides) under Mytilus galloprovincialis (Mediterranean mussel). The record is from RNAcentral. Lineage: Eukaryota; Metazoa; Mollusca; Bivalvia; Mytilida; Mytilidae.
AGGCAGACAUGUACAGCUAACAAUGCUUCUAUACAACCUAUAUAGUUGACCUAUUACUUUAAUUUUAAGAAAAUAGACCAAAACACAAAAACUUAACACUGUGCAAUGAACCGUGAAAAUGAGGUCAAGGUCAAAUAAAACCUGCGCAACUGACAUAAAGAUCAUAAAAUAUUUCCAUACAUCAAAUAUAGUUGACCUAUGGCAUAUAGUAUUAGAUAAAAAGACCAAAUCUCAAAAACUUAACUUUGACCACUGAACCAUGAAAAUGAGGUCAAGGUCACAUGACAUCUGCCCACUAGACAUGUACACCUUACAAUCAUUCCAUACAACAAAUAUAGUAGACCUAUUGCAUAUAGUAUGAGAAAAACAGACCAAAACACAAAAAUUUAACUAUAACCACUGAUCCAUGAAAACGAGGUCAAGGUCAGAUGACACCUGC